UGUCAAACAGUAUUUAAAUUUGAUUAUAUGUGUAAUGUUAUAUAUGCUUAAAAGUGAAUAUGAUUACCAUGUAAAUUAACUAGUAAAUAAUGCAUGAGUGAGUAUAAUAUGACACUAGAGUUGAAAUUGUUGAGGUUAUGAGAUUGGUUAUUUCGUUAAUGCUUGAUGAAUUAUUUGCAUAGUAGUUGUUCUAGGUAUUCAUUGAGGUUAUAAAAGCUCACCCACU
RNAcentral lists this long non-coding RNA (226 nucleotides) under Gossypium barbadense (sea-island cotton). RNAcentral's name for it is "long non-coding RNA (GBAR_LNC011216)". Lineage: Eukaryota; Viridiplantae; Streptophyta; Magnoliopsida; Malvales; Malvaceae. The record is from RNAcentral.